RNAcentral lists this ribosomal RNA (363 nucleotides) under Triticum aestivum (bread wheat). RNAcentral's name for it is "partial small subunit ribosomal RNA". The record is from RNAcentral. Lineage: Eukaryota; Viridiplantae; Streptophyta; Magnoliopsida; Poales; Poaceae.
AUGCACUGCACCAUCCACCCUUUUCCCGACGCACCACAGUCGUUGCCCAGGCCAUCCUCCUUUUACAUCUUGGACGAAGACGGCGAGAUCCAAAGUCAAAGGCUUCCAUGGAAAUCUCAUUGUUCAAGUGCAGUACAUGCAUUAAGAUAUUCAACUAGGAUUAUAGCAAGCCGCAGACGCGCCACACCAUUCACCCUUUUCCAACGCACCACAUCCAUUGCCCCACUGUUAGGCCAUCAUUUACAUCUUGGAACGGAGAAGACGAGAUCUAAAGUCAAGUUUUUUCUGUACAAUAUCCUCAGACAAGUAACCGUGGAAAAGAAAGGCAUGGCAAAACCAUUGGUGAGGAAGGUUGCAGAGUGA